This is a long non-coding RNA of Oncorhynchus keta (chum salmon), 1770 nucleotides long. RefSeq lists it as uncharacterized. Lineage: Eukaryota; Metazoa; Chordata; Actinopteri; Salmoniformes; Salmonidae. The record is from RefSeq and is a predicted model, not a curated record. The transcript has 7 exons.
GGUUAGGGCCUGGGUUAGGGGUGAGUGUCUGGUUUAGGGGUUAGGGUAACAGGUUAGGGUCUGGUUUAGGGGUGAGGGUAACAGGUUAGGUUUUGGGGUGAGGGUAACAGGUCAGGGUCUGGUUUUGGGUUGAGGGUCUGGUUUAGGGGUUAGGGUAACAGGUUAUGGUCUGGUUUAGGGGUGAGGGUCUGGUUUAGGGGUUAGGGUAACAGGUUAGGGUCUGGUUUAGGGGUGAGGGUCUGGUUUAGGGGUUAGGGUAACAGGUUAGGGUCUGGUUUAGGGGUUAGGGUAACAGGUUAGGUUCUGGUUUAGGGGUGAGGGUCUGGUUUAGGGGUUAGGGUAACAGGUUAGGGUCUGGUUUAGGGGUUAGGGUAAGAGGUUAGGGUCUGGUUAAGGGGUUAGGGUCUGGUUUUGUGGUUAGGGUAACAGGUUAGGGUCUGGGUUAGGGGUGAGGGUCUGGUUUAGGGGUUAGGGUAACAGGUUAGGGUCUGGUUUAGGGGUGAGGGUAACAGGUUAGGGCCUGGUUUUGGGGUGAGGGUAACAGGUUAGGGCCUGGUUUUGGGGUGAGGGUAACAGGUUAGGGUCUGGUUUAGGGGUGAGGGUCUGGUUUAGGGGUUAGGGUAACAGGUUAUGGUCUGGUUUAGGGGUGAGGGUCUGGUUUAGGGGUUAGGGUAACAGGUUAGGGUCUGGUUUAGGGGUGAGGGUAAGAGGUCAGGGUCUGGUUUAGGGGUGAGGGUAACAGGUCAGGGUCUGGUUUAGGGGUUAGGGUAACAGGUUAGAGUAACAGGUUAGGGGUUAGGGUAACAGGUUAGGGCCUGGUUUAGGGGUUGGGGUCUGGUUUAGGGGUUAGGGUAACCGGUUAGGGUCUGGUUUAGGGGUUAGGGUAACAGGUUAGGGUAACAGGUUAGGGCCUGGUUUAGGGGUUAGGGUAACAGGUUAGGGUCUGGUUUAGGGGUGAGGGUAACAGGUUAGGGUCUGGUUUAGGGGUGAGGGUAACAGGUUAGGGUAACAGGUUAGGGCCUGGUUUAGGGGUGAGGGUAACAGGUUAGGGUAACAGGUUAGGGUCUGGUUUAGGGGUGAGGGUAACAGGUUAGGGUAACAGGUUAGGGUCUGGUUUAGGGGUGAGGGUAACAGGUUAGGGUAACAGGUUAGGGCCUGGUUUAGGGGUGAGGGUAACAGGUUAGGGUAACAGGUUAGGGCCUGGUUUAGGGGUGAGGGUAACAGGUUAGGGCCUGGUUUAGGGGUGAGGGUAACAGGUUAGGGUAACAGGUUAGGGCCUGGUUUAGGGGUGAGGGUAACAGGUUAGGGUCUGGUUUAGGGGUGAGGGUAACAGGUUAGGGCCUGGUUUAGGGGUGAGGGUAACAGGUUAGGGUAACAGGUUAGGGCCUGGUUUAGGGGUGAGGGUAACAGGUUAGGGUCUGGUUUAGGGGUGAGGGUAACAGGUUAGGGUAACAGGUUAGGGCCUGGUUUAGGGGUGAGGGUAACAGGUUAGGGUCUGGUUUAGGGGUGAGGGUAACAGGUUAGGGUAACAGGUUAGGGCCUGGUUUAGGGGUGAGGGUAACAGGUUAGGGUCUGGUUUAGGGGUGAGGGUAACAGGUUAGGGUAACAGGUUAGGGCCUGGUUUAGGGGUGAGGGUAACAGGUUAGGGUCUGGUUUAGGGGUGAGGGUAACAGGUUAGGGCCUGGUUUAGGGGUGAGGGUAACAGGUUAGGGUAACAGGUUAGGGUAACAGGUUAGGGUCUGGUUUAGGGGUGAGGGUAACAGGUUAGGG